UUCCGGUUGAUCCUGCCGAAGGCUACUGCUAUUGGAGUUCGAUUAAGCCAUGCGAGUCUAAGGGAUCUUCGGAUCCCUGGCGUAAUGCUCAGUAACACGUGGAUAAUCUACCCUCAGGUGGGGCAUAAACCCGGGAAACUGGGGCCAAUUCCCCAUAAAUACAGAUGGCUGGAAUGCUUCUGUAUUCAAAGCUCCGGCGCCUGAGGAUGAGUCUGCGGCCUAUCAGGUUGUAGUCAGGGUCAUGACCUGACUAGCCAGCGACGGGUAUGGGGUGUGAGAGCACUUGCCCAGAGAUGGUUUCUGAGACACGAAACCAGGCCCUACGGGGCGCAGCAGGCGCGAAAACUUCGCAAUGCGGGAAACCGUGACGAGGGAACUCCAAGUGUCUAUGCAUUGCAUAGACUGUUUUUUAGCCUAAAUAGCUAUUAGAGUAAGGGGUGGGUAAGACCGGUGCCAGCCGCCGCGGUAACACCGGCACCCCGAGUGGUAGCCACUAUUAUUGGGCCUAAAGCGUUCGUAGCCGGUUUGGUAAAUUCUUGGGUAAAUCGUACCGCUUAACGGUGCGGAUUCCGGGGACACUACCAGACUUGAGACCGGGGGAGAUCAGAGGUACUUGCGGGGGAGCGGUGAAAUGUUGUAAUCCCGCAGGGACCACCAGUGGCGAAGGCGUCUGAUCAGAACGGCUCUGACGGUGAGGAACGAAACCCUGGGGCGCAAACGGGAUUAGA
RNAcentral lists this ribosomal RNA (728 nucleotides) under uncultured marine group III euryarchaeote. Its description in RNAcentral is "bacterial SSU rRNA". It matches the Rfam family "Archaeal small subunit ribosomal RNA", at positions 1 to 733 of the family's 1478-position model. The record is from RNAcentral. Lineage: Archaea; Methanobacteriati; Thermoplasmatota; Thermoplasmata; Candidatus Thermoprofundales.